AGAGAGAGAGAGGUAGAGAGAGAGAGGUAGAGAGAGAGAGGUAGAGGUAGAGAGAGAGAGAGGUAGAGAGAGAGAGAGAGAGAGAGGUAGAGAGAGAGAGAGGUAGAGAGAGAGAGGUAGAGAGAGAGGGUAGAGAGAGAGAGGUAGAGAGAGAGAGAGAGGUAGAGAGAGAGGUAGAGAGAGAGAGAGAGAGAGAGAGGUAGAGAGAGAGAGGUAGAGAGAGAGAGGUAGAGAGAGAGAGGUAGAGAGAGAGAGAGAGAGGUAGAGAGAGAGAGAGAGAGAGGUAGAGAGAGAGAGAGGUAGAGAGAGAGAGGUAGAGAGGUAGAGAGAGAGAGAGAGAGAGGUAGAGAGAGAGAGGUAGAGAGAGAGAGGUAGAGAGAGAGGUAGAGAGAGAGAGGUAGAGAGAGAGAGGUAGAGAGAGAGAGAGG
Oncorhynchus tshawytscha (Chinook salmon) is the source of this 428-nucleotide long non-coding RNA. The record is from Ensembl. Lineage: Eukaryota; Metazoa; Chordata; Actinopteri; Salmoniformes; Salmonidae.